This 910-nucleotide long non-coding RNA is filed under the name Cyanistes caeruleus (blue tit). Its description in RNAcentral is "lncRNA (ENSCCEG00000004613.1)". Lineage: Eukaryota; Metazoa; Chordata; Aves; Passeriformes; Paridae. The record is from RNAcentral.
CUUUGGGGUAACCCCCGGUGGGGAGAGUCGGGCCUCAGGGCCUGUGGACCGCUAGGGGUCGGGGGGGAAUGAGAAGAUGGGGCACUCUGACAAGCCGUGUGGGUCCCAGAUGCCAUGGGGAGAGGCCACCGUGCAGGGUCCAGGGUGAUAAGCCCCUGCCUGAGGUGUCCGUAGAGAGGCUCCCGUGCCGCGGUGAGACACUGACAAGCACCGCCAAGAGGCUCCAGGAGAUGUUAGACACAGACAAGCCCCAGGAGAUACCAGAUGAGGAGCUGCCUACUGUGGCCCUACCAGUCGUGCCCAGCAGGGUGCCGUCCCCAGAGACUGGGAAGGAUCCCUCUGAGAUCAAGCUGCCUCCCUGGCUUGGAAAGUGGGGGACUAGCCCCGAUAAGGAUUCGCCCACCACAGUGCCGGCGCUGCCCCCCACCCCACCCGUGCCAGCAGAGAAGCCCAGCCAGUCGGUGCCCCAGCGGAGCCACGUGAGCCGUGACUGGCAGAAGGAGAUAAUCGUGGACCCUCUGGACUCUCGGCCAGGGAAGGAUUUGGGCAGUGAGGACUUCCAGCAUGGCUACCAGGGACUGCCGAUCCACCAGUUUCUCUCCUCACUCACUGACAGCUCCCCCGCAAAGGACUGUCCAUCUCUGAGGACCCUGCUACUGGGGCAAGGGCGGAGGAAGGCCACACUGGCAUCCAUGCUCUACGAGAAAUACAGCAAGGAGACGGAGGAGGAGAUCCAUCCCCGCCCGAGGCGCAUGGAAUCUAUCUCCACCACGCACCAGGACUACCGUGCCACGGGUUUCCAGUCCACACCCCAGCCCAUCACACAGCCUCACAACUACUUAACGGAGCAGCCAACAAGCUUCUGGAUGGAGCAAGCCCGCGGGCUGCCGGUAAGGCCCCCACCACCUUG